Non-coding RNA from Poecilia formosa (Amazon molly), 46 nucleotides. The record is from Rfam. NCBI's taxonomy places the organism in Eukaryota, Metazoa, Chordata, Actinopteri, Cyprinodontiformes, Poeciliidae.
CAAAAGGUUCAUUUUUGAACCACCAACUUAAAAAUAUUCUGGAGCU